UGGUGCAUGGUUGUCGUCAGGCUCGUGUCGUGAGAUGUUGGGUUAAGUCCCGCAACGAGCGCAACCCUCGACCUUAGUUGCCAGCAUUCAGUUGGGCACUCUAAGGUGACUGCCGGCUAAAAGUCGGAGGAAGGUGGGGAUGACGUCAAAUCAUCAUGCCCCUUAUGACCUGGGCUACACACGUGCUACAAUGGGCGGUACAAAGGGUCGCGAACCCGCGAGGGGGAGCCAAUCCCAAAAAGCCGCUCUCAGUUCGGAUUGCAGGCUGCAACUCGCCUGCAUGAAGCCGGAAUCGCUAGUAAUCGCGGAUCAGCAUGCCGCGGUGAAUACGUUCCCGGGCCUU
This 343-nucleotide ribosomal RNA is filed under the name uncultured Anoxybacillus sp. RNAcentral's name for it is "bacterial SSU rRNA". It matches the Rfam family "Bacterial small subunit ribosomal RNA", at positions 1039 to 1382 of the family's 1533-position model. The record is from RNAcentral. Lineage: Bacteria; Bacillati; Bacillota; Bacilli; Caryophanales; Anoxybacillaceae.